Molecule: non-coding RNA, 163 nt
Organism: Paenibacillus sp. DMB20
Lineage: Bacteria; Bacillati; Bacillota; Bacilli; Caryophanales; Paenibacillaceae
Source: Rfam
AGCACCUUUAAAUCAGUCCCGUGAGGCUGGCAAGGUAACGUGAACCGAGGUUCAUGACAUGGAAGCAUCUUUUUGUCUGAGGACAAAUAGAUUGUACUUCGCCGUAUUUCUCUGUGUACAUGAGAUCAAUACUCCUUGCCAACGCGGCAAGGAGUUUUUUAGU